Long non-coding RNA from Ostrinia furnacalis (Asian corn borer), 690 nucleotides. RefSeq lists it as uncharacterized. Lineage: Eukaryota; Metazoa; Arthropoda; Insecta; Lepidoptera; Crambidae. The record is from RefSeq and is a predicted model, not a curated record. The transcript has 2 exons.
GUUCACAGUUGCACAGGUAAGGCAAACAGUGGCUACUGCCUGGAGCCCUGCAGUACCCUGGAUAAGGCGCUUCGCCCUUUGGCAACCAUCUUCUUGUGUUCCCAUACAAAUAUGGUUCCAGCUCGCGUUUGCUAAAGGGAACUAUAGCGGUACGUAUUUUGAAACUGCCCGGUACCAAAUAAUGGACGUACGCUGCGAAUGUUAUGUACCCCUGAAAAAUACGAGGUUUGUGAUUUCUGACAAAAUCAUUAUAUUUGGGGUAUGAAAUAGUAUUGAGUAGUGGGAUUAUUGUUUCCAACAAAACAAGAUAAACAUCAUGCUAGCAGAAAUAAGUUUUAUUUAUUACAUAAUAUCUUUGUUAUUUCCUAGCCUAGCUACAAUAAUAAAUCAUUCAUUAUAUUCUGAGUGUAAUAAGUAUAAUAACUUACGUGAAUACCAGUUAUCUGGAAAUCUAUAGGAUGUAUAAUCAUCUCAAGUACUUUUUUUGUAUUGCAUCAAUUUCAAGAAGUACCUAUUAUACGGUGUUAUUGCAGUGCAAUCAAUUACAGUACGGUUUCAAUUAAAAAUUAUGUUUCAUUUUUAUUCUGUAUUUCCUUGUUCUUGUGGUUACACGAUAGGAGUAAUAAUUAACAUGAACUAUUUUUUUUACGUACCUAACUUACUAGAUUUUUUUCGCAUUUUAUUUCUUUU